Molecule: ribosomal RNA, 447 nt
Filed under: uncultured Lactococcus sp.
Lineage: Bacteria; Bacillati; Bacillota; Bacilli; Lactobacillales; Streptococcaceae
Description: bacterial SSU rRNA
Rfam family: Bacterial small subunit ribosomal RNA
Source: RNAcentral
UGGAGCAUGUGGCUUAAUCGAAGCAACGCGAAGAACCUUACCAGGUCUUGACAUACUCGUGCUAUUCCUAGAGAUAGGAAGUCCUUCGGGACACGGGAUACAGGUGGUGCAUGGUUGUCGUCAGCUCGUGUCGUGAGAUGUUGGGUUAAGUCCCGCAACGAGCGCAACCCCUAUUGUUAGUUGCCAUCAUUAAGUUGGGCACUCUAACGAGACUGCCGGUGAUAAACCGGAGGAAGGUGGGGAUGACGUCAAAUCAUCAUGCCCCUUAUGACCUGGGCUACACACGUGCUACAAUGGAUGGUACAACGAGUCGCGAGACAGUGAUGUUUAGCUAAUCUCUUAAAACCAUUCUCAGUUCGGAUUGUAGGCUGCAACUCGCCUACAUGAAGUCGGAAUCGCUAGUAAUCGCGGAUCAGCACGCCGCGGUCGAAUACGUUCCCGGGCCUU